UCACAUCUAUCUCCAUAUCGCUCUUGCUUUUCCGCCGCAACCCGGUCCUAAUCUCGGCGAAGGUAGUUUUCCAUCGCAGCUCUGCCCUAAACUCGAGGCAGGUAUCUUCUUCCUUGUGUCGUCCUAGCUUUGCUCGAGAUAGAAUUUUAGGUACGCUUCUUUUCCAGUAUGGUUACUCUUUUCUUCCAUAAGUUGUAUUGGUGGCAUUUUUUUCUUGUUUUAUUCUAGUUACUUUUCUUCCAUUAGCUCUGCCCUACAUUAUUGGCGUUUUUAAAUUGGUUGAAGGCAUUUAAACAGAAUGUUAAGG
This 307-nucleotide long non-coding RNA is filed under the name Solanum tuberosum (potato). Its description in RNAcentral is "long non-coding RNA (STUB_LNC011481)". The record is from RNAcentral. Lineage: Eukaryota; Viridiplantae; Streptophyta; Magnoliopsida; Solanales; Solanaceae.